CCUACGGGAGGCAGCAGUGAGGAAUAUUGGUCAAUGGACGAGAGUCUGAACCAGCCAAGUCGCGUGAAGGAUGACUGCCCUAUGGGUUGUAAACUUCUUUUAUAUGGGAAUAAAAUGUUCCACGUGUGGGAUUUUGUAUGUACCAUAUGAAUAAGGAUCCGCUAACUCCGUGCCAGCAGCCGCGGUUAUACGGAGGAUCCGAGCGUUAUCCGGAUUUUUUGGGUUUAAAGGGAGCGUAGGUGGAUUGUUAAGUCAGUUGUGAAAGUUUGCGGCUCAACCGUAAAAUUGCAGUUGAAACUGGCAGUCUUGAGUACAGUAGAGGUGGGCGGAAUUCGUGGUGUAGCGGUGAAAUGCUUAGAUAUCACGAAGAACUCCGAUUGCGAAGGCAGCUCACUGGACUGCAACUGACACUGAGGCUCGAAAGUGUGGGUAUCAAACAGGAUUAGAUACCCUAGUAGUC
RNAcentral lists this ribosomal RNA (460 nucleotides) under uncultured bacterium. RNAcentral's name for it is "partial 16S ribosomal RNA". It matches the Rfam family "Bacterial small subunit ribosomal RNA", at positions 338 to 795 of the family's 1533-position model. The record is from RNAcentral.